GCCAGAGAGCGAGCGCGCGGGCGCCCCCAGGGAGGAGGGUGCAGAGGAGAGGCGGCCAAGGCACUCAGGUUGGUCAGGUCUUCCAGGGCUUUGUCUCCCUUCAGCCAAUUACCGGUUUCUUUUUCCACACCGGACCUACCUGGGGACCCCCCUGGGUGAGCACACCCGCCUCAGCCAAGAUGGAUCUCGGAGUGAAGGCUUCUGGGAAGAGCAAGACCCAUUACGGCCUGGCACUAGCCCUUGACUUUUGACCCACAAGGAGCCUUUCUGCACGGCUUUCCCUUCUUUGCCGUUGCCGUGACCACUGCUGUGACCCCUUGAGCCUUCACUCACACGGGGUUUCGCCCUUCUUUGCCGUCGCCGUGACCACUGCCGUGACCGCCACCGUAACGUGCUCACAGAAGACACACGCUGGCGUUUGCCCUGUUGCUGUUGUGACUUCCGCCUCGGAGGGCGAGCAGGAGGCUGACUGUAAAUGCUUCAGCUGGAGCCCACCUAUCUCUUGUCUCAGAAAACGCUGGUAGCUCUAAGUAUCCAGCCUGAAGCCCACUUGGUGCCCCGACAAAUGCAAACGGGAAUCCAAUCUGGAGCCCAUCUACUCCCUAAGUCAAGCCUAGUGAUGGUGCCUGGGGUGAUGGAAUAGGGCGGAGGGCAAGGGGGACAGGCAGGAGCCACUGUUACCUUCAACCUGACCCGAGACGUGUGUCCGGCCCCCAACCCUGGAGGCAGGUUCCAGGUCUCAAAGACCAGUGGCCAGCACCCCGUGCCGACCUCAGGCCAGACACCGCAGACACGGCCCCAGCUCCCAGGACAGCCUCUCCACUGCACACCUCCACCUUCUUCACGCCUCAUGACGGCUCUUCUUAUACUUGGGGAAUCUCGAAAAAGUUGUUCAAACCUUCUACCAACGGAAUCAACGUAUUCCCAGUCACCCCCAGACAACAGAGUGAACAGUUCACCAGAUGGUGGAUGAACUGGGACGUUCACAUUGGUAAACGCACGGUCAAAUGGGUAGGGAUGAGGGCAGGAUGGAAUUUUGUAUCCAAAAAAGGAUGUUUCAUCCCUGUUCGGAGAAGGCAAUGGCACCCCACUCCAGUACUCUUGCCUGGAAAAUCCCAUUGAUGGAGGAGCCUCGUGGGCUGCAGUCCGUGGGGUCGCAAAGAGUCGGACACCACUGAGCGACUUCACUUUGACUUUUCACUUUCAUGCAUUGGAGAAGGAAAUGGCAACACACUCCAGUGCUCUUGCCUGGAGAAUCCCAGGGAUGGUGGAGCCUGGUGGGCUGCCAUUUAUGGGGUCGCACAGAGUCGGAAAUGACUGAAGUGACUUAGCAGCAGCAGCAGCAGCAAGAUCCCUGUUAUGAAAAGUCAUUUAUUUUCUUUUAAAAGUGUUUUAAAAUUAAUUUAAAAUAUGUUUAAAAUCAAAGAAGCAACAUCCUGGUUGAACAUCAUAUUUAAAAAACGCGAUAUGAUUCAAACACUGUAAAUAUAGAGAAAGAAGAUCAAAGAACACAGGCAAAAACAAUGCUGGAAAACAGGGUGGGUGGAGGAUUUUUGCUUCCCAAGCUGGGCUGAGAAGGAAAGUUAGGACUCAGUCCUGGUGCUGCGUAUAGUAAAGCCAUGUCAGGUGUCAGCCUGUGAAGACCGAGGCCAAGGUUUCAAACGUUCGAGAAGAAGCAUAACAUACUCACAAAACAAGAUAACAGAAAGGACAGCGUCUCAAAAGACUUCUUGACUUCUAAAGUAAUUUAUCCGUCUACUUACAAGGGCUGGAUGACAAGUUCCUGAAAUAUGUGCGUCUUCAAAGCCUAAUUGGAAUUUCUCUCUGUUGAUCUGAUGUCAGAACAGCAAAUCAUUAUGUCUUGAAAAAGAAAAGUGAAUAUUAAUUGAAAAGUUCAUUGGAAUUUGAAAGACUGUUCACUAGUUUUAGUCAAUCAAUCACUAACAAUAUAAUGAUGGAGUUGUGUACCGAAAGCUCGGUAAUCACAAAGCUUUCCUUGGAGGUGGCUUGAAUGCGUUUUUCCGACCGUGUCGAGUGUGACAUGAAAGACAGAAAAUGAGAGAAUUUUAAAUCUGGCCCAGGUCAAGGGGAAGGUAGAGCAACCUCGUCACAUGGCGAUGAAGGGAAGUUGAGUAGCCAGGCGUGGAAACCGUCUCCCACAGGACUCAGCCUCAGAUAAGGGAAAAUGAGGCAGCGGCAUAUGGCCACAGAACUCACCGUCUCCUCGCAACAUCCAUCACCCUGAAGCACUGGGCCAACAUAAACUCUGGACUUCAUUAAUCGCUUCAUUAAUUGUGCCCUGCCCUAAUGCAGGCAGAUAGGGCUUCUUUGAUGAUGCAGUGGAUAAGAAUCCACCUGCCAAUGCAGGGGACGUGGCUUUGAUCCACAGUCUGGGAAGAUGCCACACGCCUUGGAAGGACCACAGCCUUGUGUGACAAGCGCUGCGGCAGCCCUGCUCUGGAGCCCGCCUGCCGCGACUCCCGAGCCCGUGUGCCGUAGCCACUGAGGUCUUUGCCCCGGAGCCUAUGCUCCGCAGCCCUGCUCUGGAGCCCGCCUGCCGCGACUCCCGAGCCCGUGUGCCGUAGCCACUGAGGUCUUUGCCCCGGAGCCUGUGCUCCGCGGCAAGGGAAGGCCCUGCAGUGAGGAGCGGCCCCAUCCACCGCAAUGAGAGAGGAGCCCACACAGAGCAACAGGGAUCCAGCACAGCCCCAAAUGACCAAAUUAAAAAGGAACUCACAGCCUCGUGGGAAUGUCAAAGGGCCCAGGAGUCGCCUGAGAGGGCUCCCGGGACCAAGGCUGAAACAGUCCGAGCAAGAAGAUGGGUGGUGCGUGAUCGGAUGCUGAGCACCCACAAGCGCAUACCGACGUAAGUGCAUCGUUGAAUGAACAAACAAGUGGGGGAGAAUAAACUAAUCUCCACGCAGAAGAAACUUAAAGAAUCUGCGUGAAUAUUUCAUGCUGAGGGGAGGGGACCACAGCGCCCUCCUCCCUGCGGCCGGGCUACACGGUGACGGCCUCCCAAAGAGCAAGAAAGAGAGAAGCAACCAACGCCGCCGAGGGCGGCCGACCGAAGUCCACAGCAGCAGGGGGACGCCCCGAUGAACUGCAGCCUUCACAGGCUGCAGUUAGGACUGUGCCUGGCCUCUGUGGACUCAGCGCAUUUAUGUUUAAGCCAUUUGUGACCAAUUUUGGUUUCAACAUACCUUCUUAAAACGUUUCCUCAUUCCUCCUGUUCUGUGUUCACUUUUCUUUCUUAUUUUUAACGGAUGAUUUUAUUUUUUUUUCUGUUCUAUAUUCUACUGUGCUGCUGCUAAGUCACUUCAGUCGUGUCCGACUCUGUGUGACCCCAUAGACGGCAGCCCACCAGGCUCCCCCGUCCCUGGGAUUCUCCAGGCAAGAACACUGGAGUGGGUUGCCAUUUCCUUCUCCA
Long non-coding RNA from Bos taurus (domestic cattle), 3430 nucleotides. The record is from Ensembl. Lineage: Eukaryota; Metazoa; Chordata; Mammalia; Artiodactyla; Bovidae.